CACACAGAGAAUUUCUGUGUGCAAAUAGAAAACUCAAAAAACACACCACUCGGUGUAGAUGAAGCUCCAUUUAUUCUAUCCACUGCUACACAGCUGAAGAAGAGAAACACUUCUCUUCUGUCAUGUCACCUUCCUUCCCAUUCACUACAGCCACACUAUGCAGAGCCAAUUAUUUAUAGGUUUACUGAACAAGCUUCGUAGGUAGAAGUUGGAAGGCAUCUAAAUAGAAGGAAAGAUUCUCACAGAGGAAAUGUCAAAGAAAUGUAACUGGACCACAAGUAUGGCAUGAAUCACUUUCCACUUAUCAAACAGUUAUGAUUCUUUUUACCAAAAGGGGGAGAUAGAAUAAGGCAAGGAGCAGAACUCUCAGAAGGGGAUAAAAGGCUGAAAUUACUGACACAAGAAGUUAGUUGUGCACAGGGACUUGAAGGCAGGCAGCCUAGGCCAAGGAAUGAGAAAGUGAAAAAGAAGGAAAGCCACUUGCAAGUCAGCACAGCAUCAGGACACAGCCAGGAUUGGCUGGCAGUGAUGUCACUGCCCUCCCUCCAACAACCACCUCCAGAUGAAAAACAUCACUUAGCUCAGUUUUGGCUUUGUUGGCUGUCUGAUGUUUGCUGUGUACCUUAAGCAUUACCCAUCAUGUUUACCCAUACUGAGAGCUGGGAGGAGGAGCACAUAACUCUUUGCCAAGACUCUGGUGGUUGAAGAGACUCAUCCCCAGGGGCAGGAGGAGAGAUGCCCAGCAGCCCUGCAGUGAUUUCCAGAGCAGGAAAGGGUACAUGAAGACUUGGGAAGUGCAUCAUCAAUCAGGUGGCCUUAUAAUCCUUGUUGGUCUUUACAGACAAAUCACCCAGCGAUGGCAAAUGGGAUUUACAAAGACGGUAACAGAACUUCAAACUCUGUUCCAGGAUUUCAAGAUACAGCAACUGGACCCAACAAGAGUGCAAGGACAGAUACUGUCCGUGCCAUGUUCUAUACAAUCUAAGGGAACAACCUCCCAGAACAAUUAACUGAUGAAUGCAUUUUAAACCCUCACCUCAAGGCAAAAGGUCCUUGUCCCAUGGCCUUGCAGUCUAGCUUUCCUGUCCCCAGUGUUUUCUGUCUAAGUUUUCAGCAGUUUUCUGUCUAAGUUCCCACUCCUUUCUCUUUUUCCCUCUCUCCUCAAGUUUUUCUUUGACAGCUCGUGUUCCAUGUGACUAGAAACAGGAACGAUUUAAAAGGGUGCCUCUGAUUAUAAUAAAACAAAAAAGCCAGAGGUUGUUUUGUUUUCC
Molecule: long non-coding RNA, 1271 nt
Filed under: Coturnix japonica (Japanese quail)
Lineage: Eukaryota; Metazoa; Chordata; Aves; Galliformes; Phasianidae
Description: lncRNA (ENSCJPG00005013079.1)
Source: RNAcentral